CCUACGGGAGGCAGCAGUGAGGAAUAUUGGGCAAUGGAGGAAACUCUGACCCAGCCAUGCCGCGUGAGUGAAGAAGGUUUUCGAAUUGUAAAGCUCUUUCGGAUGUGAAGAUGAAGACGGUAACAUCUAAAGAAGCCACGGCAAACUUCGUGCCAGCAGCCGCCGUAAUACGAAGGGGGCAAGCGUUGGUCGGAAUUACUGGGCGUAAGGGGUGUGUAGGCGGGAAAGUAAGAUAGUGGUGAAAUGCCUGGGCUCAACUUGGGAACUGCCAUGAUAACUAUUUUGCUAGAGUGACAGAGAGGUAAUUGGAAUACCCAGUGUAGAGGUGAAAUGCGUAGAUAUUGGGUAGAACACCGGAGGCGAAGGCGAGUAACUGGAUGGCAACUGACGCUGAGGCACGAAAGCAUGGGGAUCAAACAGGAUUAGAUACCCGGGUAGUC
Molecule: ribosomal RNA, 440 nt
Filed under: uncultured bacterium
Lineage: Bacteria
Description: partial 16S ribosomal RNA
Rfam family: Bacterial small subunit ribosomal RNA
Source: RNAcentral